RNAcentral lists this transfer RNA (76 nucleotides) under Verrucomicrobiota bacterium. RNAcentral describes it as "Verrucomicrobia bacterium (gut metagenome) tRNA-Cys". It matches the Rfam family "tRNA". From Rfam's summary of the family: Transfer RNA (tRNA) molecules are approximately 80 nucleotides in length. Their secondary structure includes four short double-helical elements and three loops (D, anti-codon, and T loops). RNAcentral also lists the same sequence under 1 other name. The record is from RNAcentral. Lineage: Bacteria; Pseudomonadati; Verrucomicrobiota.
GGCGGGAUAGCCAAGUUGGUAAGGCAGAGCUCUGCAAAAGCUCCAUGCACCGGUUCGAGUCCGGUUCUCGCCUCCA